GCCGGGCGCGGUGGCGCGUGCCUGUAGUCCCAGCUACUCGGGAGGCUGAGGCUGGAGAAUCCCUUGAGUUCAGGAGUUCUGGGCUGUAGUGCGCUAUACCGAUCGGGUGUCCGCACUAAGUUCGGCAUCAAUAUGGUGACCUCCCGGGAGCGGGGGACCACCAGGUUGCCUAAGGAGGGGUGAACCGGCCCAGGUCGGAAACGGAGCAGGUUAAAACUCCCGUGCUGAUCAGUAGUGGGAUUGCGCCUGUGAAUAGCCACUGCACUCCAGCCUGGGCAACACAGUGAGACCCUGCCUCU
Molecule: signal recognition particle RNA, 299 nt
Filed under: Cebus imitator (Panamanian white-faced capuchin)
Lineage: Eukaryota; Metazoa; Chordata; Mammalia; Primates; Cebidae
Description: Metazoan signal recognition particle RNA (ENSCCAG00000006943.1)
Rfam family: Metazoan signal recognition particle RNA
About the family: The signal recognition particle (SRP) is a universally conserved ribonucleoprotein. It is involved in the co-translational targeting of proteins to membranes.
Source: RNAcentral